GCCCUUUAUGACACCUUUGUAGAGGGGAGACCAGUAUGGUGUGCAGCCUGGGUGGAUGUUUAAACAAAAAGAAGAGGAAAGAGGGCUGGAACAAACAAAAGGGAGUAGCUGCUACAACAGUCAUGGAAAUGCUUGCGGGAAUCCGUGAGGAUAUCCGUGCCGUUAAGGAACGUUCUGGGCAGAAAGACGUGAAGACUGAUUCCUGUGCUGGUUUCAACAGUUGAGGCCCCAAACCUUCUUGACAAAUCCCUCAAAUCUCUGGAGGAAAGGCUGAAACUCAUCAAUGGCUUUUCCGAAGUGGGAGGAGUAUACAUGAAGGCCAAGGUGAAGAGGGACGUGGAGAAACAAGAGAGAAAAGUGGCGUUUUCAGCGUCGCUCUCAGCAGGUGAAGCUGGUCAUAUUGGACCAUACAGCACUUUAUUUCCUCUGGUCUACAGACACGUCUUCACCAACAUCGGCAAAGCUUACAACCCAGCUACAGGGAUUACAUUGGCUAUCAUUAGUCACUGUUAAAUUCACCUUGAC
Molecule: long non-coding RNA, 525 nt
Organism: Pygocentrus nattereri (red-bellied piranha)
Lineage: Eukaryota; Metazoa; Chordata; Actinopteri; Characiformes; Serrasalmidae
Source: Ensembl